AUUGCGAAGGCAGCUUUCUGGAUCAUUACUGACACUGAGGAACGAAAGCAUGGGUAGCGAAGAGGAUUAGAUACCCUCGUAGUCCAUGCCGUAAACGAUGUGUGUUAGACGUUGGAAAUUUAUUUUCAGUGUCGCAGGGAAACCGAUAAACACACCGCCUGGGGAGUACGACCGCAAGGUUAAAACUCAAAUGAAUUGACGGGGACCCGCACAAGUAGUGGAGCAUGUGGUUUAAUUCGAAGAUACGCGCAGAACCUUACCAACACUUGACAUGUUCGUCGCGACCCUAAGAGAUUAGAGUUUUCGGUUCGGCCGGACGAAACACAGGUGCUGCAUGGCUGUCGUCAGCUCGUGUCGUGAGAUGUUGGGUUAAGUCCCGCAACGAGCGCAACCCUCACUUUUAGUUGCCAUCAUUAAGUUGGGCACUCUGAAAGAACUGCCAGUGAUAAGCUGGAGGAAGGUGGGGAUGACGUCAAGUCCUCAUGGCCCUUACGUGUUGGGCUACACACGUGCUACAAUGGCAUCUACAACAGGAAGCAAAACGGCAACGUUAAGCAAAUCCCGAAAAGAUGCCUCAGUUCGGAUUGCACUCUGCAACUCGAGUGCAUGAAGCUGGAAUUACUAGUAAUCGUGGAUCAGCGUGCCACGGUGAAUGCGUUCCCGGGUCUUGUACACACCGCCCGUCACACCAUGGGAGUUGGUUCUACCUUAAGGCAAGGUUUCAAACCCUUGACCACGGUAUAGUCAGCGACUGGGGUGAAGUCGUAACAAGGUAGCCGUA
Molecule: ribosomal RNA, 781 nt
Filed under: uncultured bacterium
Lineage: Bacteria
Description: bacterial SSU rRNA
Rfam family: Bacterial small subunit ribosomal RNA
Source: RNAcentral